Molecule: small RNA, 108 nt
Filed under: Marmota monax (woodchuck)
Lineage: Eukaryota; Metazoa; Chordata; Mammalia; Rodentia; Sciuridae
Source: RNAcentral
GCCAGGCAUGGUGGUGCAUGCCUGUAAUCCCAGCAACUUGGGAGGCUGAGGCAGGAGGAUCACAAGUUCCAAGGCCAGCCUGGGUGACUCGGGGAGACCCUGUUUCAA